This 383-nucleotide ribosomal RNA is filed under the name uncultured bacterium. RNAcentral's name for it is "bacterial SSU rRNA". It matches the Rfam family "Bacterial small subunit ribosomal RNA", at positions 376 to 774 of the family's 1533-position model. The record is from RNAcentral.
CGCAAGCCUGACGGAGCAACGCCGCGUGAGGGAUGAAGGCCUCUGGGCUGUAAACCUCUUUUCUCAAGGAAGAAGAUCUGACGGUACUUGAGGAAUAAGCCACGGCUAAUUCCGUGCCAGCAGCCGCGGUAAUACGGGAGUGGCAAGCGUUAUCCGGAAUUAUUGGGCGUAAAGCGUCCGCAGGCGGCCUUGAAAGUCUGUCGUUAAAGCGUGGAGCUUAACUCCAUUUCGGCGGUGGAAACUACAAGGCUUGAGUGUGGUAGGGGCAGAGGGAAUUCCCGGUGUAGCGGUGAAAUGCGUAGAUAUCGGGAAGAACACCAGUGGCGAAGGCGCUCUGCUGGGCCAUAACUGACGCUCACGGACGAAAGCCAGGGGAGCGAAAG